Molecule: unclassified non-coding RNA, 1363 nt
Filed under: Zea mays
Lineage: Eukaryota; Viridiplantae; Streptophyta; Magnoliopsida; Poales; Poaceae
Description: misc RNA Zm00001eb022430
Source: RNAcentral
ACCACCACCACCAGCAGCGCAUCCAAGCCAAGCGGCCUCCUCUUCCCGGGCAAAGCAGAGCAAGCAGAAGCAGUGCAACAAUGGCCGUGGGGUUCCGUCGGACGCUGACCACGCUGGCGUCGCCCAAGUCGAUGGCUCCGUCGUUCCUGCUGGACUGCGCGCGGCCCAAGAAGCUGUCGUACGCGCGGGUGCGGUCGACCAGCCUCCCCGUGCGGCUGCACCCGCUGGCGGCGGCGCUGCACGAGUCGGCGCGCGCGCUGCUGGCGUGGGCGGACGCGCCGGCGCAGACGGGGCCCGCGUGGGUGGCGGACGGCGCCGGGCGCGCGGGGCGCGUGCUGUCGGGGCUGGCGGACCUGCUCCACCACCCGCAGGCCCGCGACGCGCUCCGGCGGCACCCCUGGACGACGGAGCAGCUGCUGGACGACCUGCUCCUGCUGGCCGACCUCCACGGGUGCUUCCGCGAGUCGCUGGUGGCGCUGACGCAGCUCCUGGCCGAGACGCACGCGGCGCUGCGCAGGCGCGACGGCGCCCGCCUCGCCGCCGCGCUGCGGGCGCAGCGGCGGUCGGCGCGGGAGGUGUCCCGCCUGGCGUCCUCCGCGCGGGACCUCUCCCACCGCGCGGCGCCCGACGACGACUCCGACGAGGCCACCCUCGCCGACGCCUUCGCGGCCGCGACGGCUGCCGUGGCCGCCGCCUCGGCCGCGGUCUUCGCCGGCGUGUCCGCCGCGUCCGCCGAGUCGGCGGCCAGCGCCGCGCCGUCCCCGAGGACCCCGACGCCCUACUCCCCCGCGCGCACCCCCGGCAGCCCGAUGUGGCUCGUGACCGACCUGCUCCGGCGGCGGCGGACCGUGUCGUUCGAGGACUCGUGCGGCGAGGAGGAGGAGGAGCGGAAGGCGGCCAUGGGACGGGUGCGCGGGCUCGAGGCGUGCGUCGACGCCGCCGAGUCGGGGUGCCAGGAGGUGUACCGCGCGCUCGUGAACGCCAGAGUCUCCCUGCUCAACCUGCUCACGCCCACGUUCUGACUCUGACGCCAUCUGCUCAUAAAAAUUUCUUGGCGGGCCAGACGUUUUUGCCAUCUUGAGUGAGUCGUUUGCGGUGUGUAAAUGAUGUAAAUACCCCCCCUAGUGCUUCGGAUUGCAAAGGGAACUAGUCCUGGUUAGCCGAGAACCCUUGCGGCGCUUUGUCUCCCAUUUCCGUGGCCCUCUUCUCUGCUUCUGCACAAGUGGCCAAGUAGACAGACAUUUCGAUGGUUUUGCAAGAAAAAUUAGCAGGCGAGCGGAUGACAAGAGUUGUUUCAAUUGCACAAUGCAUUAGUACUACAUUGUGAAGAGUUGUUUCAUCAAUUGCACAAUGCCGUUUCCAG